Papaver somniferum (opium poppy) is the source of this 847-nucleotide long non-coding RNA. RefSeq lists it as uncharacterized. The record is from RefSeq and is a predicted model, not a curated record. Lineage: Eukaryota; Viridiplantae; Streptophyta; Magnoliopsida; Ranunculales; Papaveraceae. The transcript is spliced from 2 exons.
UUUGAUAUUUUCUUGAGUACAAAAUUCAUGGUUCUCUAAAUCCGAUGAAACCAAGGUGUCUCUCUGUUAAUAAUGAAGCUGCUUGUUAUGCUUCUAGUCCUAGGUCUCUCAAUUGGUAUAAGUAUGUCAAACACAAAACCAUUUAUUUGAAAUGCAGAAUCAUUGUUUUGGAGUGAUGGGUUCUUACUUAAUUUGUUUUUCCAUCAGUGUUUGAUUAUUAGUUAAAAACUAUGGAAAUCACUAGACUUUGAGGUGUAGAAGAAGACAUUUUUUCCAUGGCGAUUUCAAAAUCGCAAUGUCUCUGGCGAAAACAAUCAACUCGGAGGAUCAUAGGGACUCCCUUUGGUCGUCCAAUUAUGCUUAGUCUUUAUCUUCUUUCCAUUUCAAUCUUAAAAGCUUUGAUUUGAAAUUAUAGGCCCAAGAAUUAAAAGGGAAGGGCAAUCUUUUUGAAUUUUGACAAGGACUUGAAUAUGCAAUAUUCAGUGAAAGAAGCAACUAUAAUUUUGAAUUUUGCAAUCUUGUGCACCACUGAGACUCGUCAAUUAGUGAGUAUUCUUGAAGGAAGAACCUCAAUGAUGGCCCCUGGAGCCGAUCCACUAUCUUUGACAGAAGUCUAUAUGAUGGGACUAACUAGAACACCGCUGCAACGGUGGGGAGGGCUGAUCGGAAAAAAGAAACCGAAACACUGGUGAUUCACUAUAUAUUUUGUUGUUGUUUGGAAUGUUAGUUUUGAGUCGUCUACGUCGUUUUAGUGAUUGGAUAACCCAUGAACCAAAAUACGAUUGUAUAAACUGUUAUGCAUCUGUUUAUAUGUUGGAAUGAUAAUUUUAGGCAUAUAAUACCUUUA